This 490-nucleotide ribosomal RNA is filed under the name uncultured bacterium. Its description in RNAcentral is "partial 16S ribosomal RNA". It matches the Rfam family "Bacterial small subunit ribosomal RNA", at positions 30 to 507 of the family's 1533-position model. The record is from RNAcentral.
AUUGAACGCUGGCGGCAGGCCUAACACAUGCAAGUCGAACGGUAACAGGAAGAAGCUUGCUUCUUUGCUGACGAGUGGCGGACGGGUGAGUAAUGUCUGGGAAACUGCCUGAUGGAGGGGGAUAACUACUGGAAACGGUAGCUAAUACCGCAUAACGUCGCAAGACCAAAGAGGGGGACCUUCGGGCCUCUUGCCAUCGGAUGUGCCCAGAUGGGAUUAGCUAGUAGGUGGGGUAACGGCUCACCUAGGCGACGAUCCCUAGCUGGUCUGAGAGGAUGACCGGCCACACUGGAACUGAGACACGGUCCAGACUCCUACGGGAGGCAGCAGUGGGGAAUAUUGCACAAUGGGCGCAAGCCUGAUGCAGCCAUGCCGCGUGUAUGAAGAAGGCCUUCGGGUUGUAAAGUACUUUCAGCGGGGAGGAAGGGAGUAAAGUUAAUACCUUUACUCAUUGACGUUACCCGCAGAAGAAGCACCGGCUAACUCCGUG